RNAcentral lists this ribosomal RNA (465 nucleotides) under uncultured bacterium. RNAcentral's name for it is "partial 16S ribosomal RNA". It matches the Rfam family "Bacterial small subunit ribosomal RNA", at positions 339 to 795 of the family's 1533-position model. The record is from RNAcentral.
CUACGGGAGGCAGCAGUGGGGAAUAUUGCACAAUGGGCGCAAGCCUGAUGCAGCCAUGCCGCGUGUAUGAAGAAGGCCUUCGGGUUGUAAAGUACUUUCAGCGGGGAGGAAGGGAGUAAAGUUAAUACCUUUGCUCAUUGACGUUACCCGCAGAAGAAGCACCGGCUAACUCCGUGCCAGCAGCCGCGGUAAUACGGAGGGUGCAAGCGUGUAAUCGGAAUUACUGGGCGUAAGGCGCACGCAGGCGGUUUGUUAAGUCAGAUGUGAAAUCCCCGGGCUCAACCUGGGAACUGCAUCUGAUACUGGCAAGCUUGAGUCUCGUAGAGGGGGGUAGAAUUCCAGGUGUAGCGGUGAAAUGCGUAGAGAUCUGGAGGAAUACCGGUGGCGAAGGCGGCCCCCUGGACGAAGACUGACGCUCAGGUGCGAAAGCGUGGGGAGCAAACAGGAUUAGAUACCCCUGUAGUC